RNAcentral lists this ribosomal RNA (420 nucleotides) under uncultured Nitrososphaerota archaeon. Its description in RNAcentral is "bacterial SSU rRNA". It matches the Rfam family "Archaeal small subunit ribosomal RNA", at positions 459 to 879 of the family's 1478-position model. Lineage: Archaea; Thermoproteati; Nitrososphaerota. The record is from RNAcentral.
CAGCCGCCGCGGUAACACCAGCCCCUCGGGUGGUGGGGAUGAUUAUUUGGCCUAAAGCGUCCGUAGCCUGCCGUGUAAGUUUCCCGUUAAAUCCAGCGUCUUAAGCGUUGGACUGCGGGAAAUACUGCACGGCUAGAGAGUGGGAGAGGUCAGCGGUAAUCUGGGGGUAGGGGCGAAAUCCUUUGAUCCCCGGAGGACCACCAGUGGCGAAGGCUGCUGACUAGAACACGUCUGACGGUCAGGGACGAAAGCUGGGGUAGCGAACCGGAUUAGAUACCCGGGUAGUCCCAGCCGUAAACGAUGCAUGCUAGGUGUUGGGUUGGCCACGAGCCACCUCAGUGCCGCAGGGAAGCCGUUAAGCAUGCCGCCUGGGAAGUACGAUCGCAAGGUUGAAACUUAAAGGAAUUGGCGGGGGAGCAC